This 468-nucleotide ribosomal RNA is filed under the name uncultured bacterium. Its description in RNAcentral is "partial 16S ribosomal RNA". It matches the Rfam family "Bacterial small subunit ribosomal RNA", at positions 28 to 507 of the family's 1533-position model. The record is from RNAcentral.
GACGAACGCUGGCGGCGUGCUUAACACAUGCAAGUCGAACGGACAGGCGCUACGUUUGUGUGGUGCUCGUUUGGCGCACGGGUGAGUAACACGUGUGUAACCUCCACUUGACUUUGUGGUAACUUCAGGGGAAUCGGGCUCAUACCGCAUAUAAUCUCCUGCAGCGUAUGGGGCGUUGGAAAGAUUCGGCGGUGGGGGAUGGACUAGAGGGUUAUCAGCUUGAUGGGGGGGUAGUGGCUUACAAAGCCUUUGACGGGUAGCCGGCAUGAGAGGGUGACCGGGCACAUUGGGACUGAGAUACGGCCCAGACUCCUACGGGAGGCAGCAGUGGGGAAUAUUGCACAAUGGGCGCAAGCCUGAUGUAGCAACCCCGCGUGCGGGAUGACGGCCUUCGGGUUGUAAACCGCUUUCGCCUGUGACGAAGCGUGAGUGACGGUAAUGGGUAAAGAAGCAACGGCUAACUACGUG